UGAGCAGCUAAACAUCAUAUCCUGUGGGAACUAAUGUCAGGAACAUGAAUAUACCUGUGAAGAUGACUCCCUGAGAGUGCUCCUGAAAGUGUUCUCGGAUGGAAGUUUCAGACUCCACAUAACAUGUACUGUAAAAUAGCAAUAGUGAAGAAGUGAAGAAGCCCAAUGGCAGCCCAUUUGCGCACAAUACUGCUUAUAAUAUCUUCUUGGGGCAGCUAUUUCCAACUAGAAAGAAAAGAGUACUCACAUGUAACACUUGUGAGGGGUCUGCUAAGAACCUUGCUGUCAAACCUACUACUUUCAUCAGAAACAU
This is a non-coding RNA of Meleagris gallopavo (turkey), 313 nucleotides long. Lineage: Eukaryota; Metazoa; Chordata; Aves; Galliformes; Phasianidae. The record is from RefSeq and is a predicted model, not a curated record.